Molecule: microRNA precursor, 59 nt
Filed under: Chrysemys picta bellii (western painted turtle)
Lineage: Eukaryota; Metazoa; Chordata; Testudines; Emydidae
Description: Cpi-Mir-17-P4a_pre stem-loop
Rfam family: mir-17 microRNA precursor family
About the family: This family represents the microRNA (miRNA) precursor mir-17, family, which includes mir-20, mir-91, and mir-103. miRNAs are transcribed as ~70nt precursors (modelled here) and subsequently processed by the Dicer enzyme to give a ~22nt product. In this case the mature sequence comes from the 3' arm of the precursor. The extents of the hairpin precursors are not generally known and are estimated based on hairpin prediction.
Source: RNAcentral
UAAAGUGCUUAUAGUGCAGGUAGUGUUCAGUAAUCUACUGCAUUAUGAGCACUUAAAGU